UUGAAAUAAACCUGAUGGGUUGUUGCUGGCUCUCCAGGGAGCAUGUGCACGCCUGUUCAUCUUUAUAUCUCCACCUGUGCACCUUUUGUAGACCCUCCCGGGGGUCUAUGUCGCUUCAUCUACCCCAAUGUAUGUUAAUAGAAUGUGUGUGCAUAUGAAAUCUAUA
RNAcentral lists this unclassified non-coding RNA (166 nucleotides) under uncultured Cortinarius. RNAcentral describes it as "sequence contains ITS1". Lineage: Eukaryota; Fungi; Basidiomycota; Agaricomycetes; Agaricales; Cortinariaceae. The record is from RNAcentral.